CCUACGGGAGGCAGCAGUGAGGAAUAUUGGUCAAUGGGCGAGAGCCUGAACCAGCCAAGUAGCGUGCAGGACGACGGCCCUACGGGUUGUAAACUGCUUUUGCGGGAGGAUAAACGGCGCCACGUGCUGGCGCCCUGCAGGUAUCCCGUGAAUAAGGACCGGCUAAUUCCGUGCCAGCAGCCGCGGUAAU
Molecule: ribosomal RNA, 190 nt
Filed under: uncultured bacterium
Lineage: Bacteria
Description: partial 16S ribosomal RNA
Rfam family: Bacterial small subunit ribosomal RNA
Source: RNAcentral